CGGGGCUUAAAGUCUUGUAAUUGGAAUGAUGGGAAUUUAAACCUCUUCCAGAGUAUCAAUUGGAGGGCAAGUCUGGUGCCAGCAGCCGCGGUAAUUCCAGCUCCAAUAGCGUAUAUUAAAAUUGUUGCAGUUAAAAAGCUCGUAGUUGAAUUUCUGCUGCAUUGCCUGUGUCCCUCUGGGGUCUGUGCAUGUGGCUUUUUUCGGACGGAGUUUCUUUGUCUGAAUGUUUACUUUGAGAAAAUUAGAGUGCUCAAAGCAGGCUUUCGCCUUGAAUAGUUUAGCAUGGAAUAAUAAAGUAGGACUUUGGUUCUAUUUUGUUGGUUUUAGGUACCAAAGUAAUGGUUAAUAGGAACAGUUGGGGGCAUUCGUAUUUAACUGUCAGAGGUGAAAUUCUUAGAUUUGUUAAAGACGAACUACUGCGAAAGCAUUUGCCAAGGAUGUUUUCAUUAAUCAAGAAC
This 458-nucleotide ribosomal RNA is filed under the name Theileria annulata. RNAcentral's name for it is "SSU rRNA". It matches the Rfam family "Eukaryotic small subunit ribosomal RNA", at positions 486 to 984 of the family's 1831-position model. Lineage: Eukaryota; Apicomplexa; Aconoidasida; Piroplasmida; Theileriidae. The record is from RNAcentral.